UACGGAGGGUGCAAGCGUUAUCCGGAUUCACUGGGUUUAAAGGGUGCGUAGGCGGACAGGUAAGUCAGUGGUGAAAUCUCUGGGCUUAACCCAGAAACUGCCGUUGAUACUAUUUGUCUUGAAUAUCCUGGAGGUAGGCGGAAUAUGUCAUGUAGCGGUGAAAUGCUUAGAUAUGACAUAGAACACCGAUAGCGAAGGCAGCUUACUACGCCUAUAUUGACGCUGAGGCACGAAAGCGUGGGGAUCAAACAGG
Molecule: ribosomal RNA, 253 nt
Filed under: uncultured bacterium
Lineage: Bacteria
Description: partial 16S ribosomal RNA
Rfam family: Bacterial small subunit ribosomal RNA
Source: RNAcentral